GCCUCUGUAGCUCAGUUGGUUAGAGCGCUGCACCGGAAUCGCAGGGCCGUAGGUUCAAUUCCCACCAGAGGAC
RNAcentral lists this transfer RNA (73 nucleotides) under Paramuricea clavata. It matches the Rfam family "tRNA". From Rfam's summary of the family: Transfer RNA (tRNA) molecules are approximately 80 nucleotides in length. Their secondary structure includes four short double-helical elements and three loops (D, anti-codon, and T loops). Lineage: Eukaryota; Metazoa; Cnidaria; Anthozoa; Malacalcyonacea; Plexauridae. The record is from Rfam by way of RNAcentral.